RNAcentral lists this transfer RNA (85 nucleotides) under Felis catus (domestic cat). It matches the Rfam family "tRNA". Rfam says of the family: Transfer RNA (tRNA) molecules are approximately 80 nucleotides in length. Their secondary structure includes four short double-helical elements and three loops (D, anti-codon, and T loops). Further hydrogen bonds mediate the characteristic L-shaped molecular structure. tRNAs have two regions of fundamental functional importance: the anti-codon, which is responsible for specific mRNA codon recognition, and the 3' end, to which the tRNAs corresponding amino acid is attached (by aminoacyl-tRNA synthetases). tRNAs cope with the degeneracy of the genetic code in two manners: having more than one tRNA (with a specific anti-codon) for a particular amino acid; and 'wobble' base-pairing, i.e. permitting non-standard base-pairing at the 3rd anti-codon position. Lineage: Eukaryota; Metazoa; Chordata; Mammalia; Carnivora; Felidae. The record is from Rfam by way of RNAcentral.
GCCUGGGUGGCUCAGUUGGUUGAGCGUCCGACUUUGGCUCAGGUCAUGAUCUUGUGGUUUGUGAGUUCGAGCCCCGCAUCAGGCU